UGGCGGGGCUGUGGUGGGGGAAGCUGAAGCAUGAAGGCUCGAGGAGCACACAGACACCUACACACAGCUCCGCGGGCAUGUGGGGACCCAGACCCACCCCCACAGCAGACACCCCCACAGAGCACUCAUGGCCCCCACAGAAAUACACCCACACUCAUCACAGCAAACCAAAACAAUCACACGCCGGUACACAAACACACACACCCCCGCACCAAUCCAGGCAGACACAAAGCUCACGGCGACAGGCAGAUCUGAUUCACACAGACACAGGCACAGGUGCUUCCUGAUGCCACCCUCUCUUGGUCACGUGCCAGCACUUGGAGGGAGGAAAGUGCCUCACCAGGCUGAGAUGCCCAAGGGACCCCCCAGGGAGGGAAAGCAGGACACACUGGGACAGUUGCUUCCAGCCCUGUCCACACCCUUGUGCCCAUCAGGAAAUAAUCCAGGAUCCAUUUCGUGUGGUCAUCUUGUCUCCCUGGUCCCCUCCAGCCUUUCCUCAUCUUUUGUGACCUGGUCACUCUGGAAGGGCGCUGGCCAGUUAGUCCACAGGAUGGGCCUCCCCUGGGGCUUUUCUGAUGCUUCCUUAUGAUGGCACUGGCAUCCUGAGGGGGAGGACCACAGAGAGGAGGUGCUCCUCAUCACACCACAUGGGGGUCCAUGCACCAGUGCCACUGCUUUCCAGGGCUCUUCACCUUCAUCACUGGUGGAGGUGGCGUCUGCCAAGAAGCAGAAAGUUGAGGCUUAGAAGGUGCACGGCCCUACCUCUUCCGAGGUGCCCCUGCGGGCUGUCUACAGACCAGGCAGCACAUGCCUGAUAGCAGCUGCAUAAGGAAAAGCAGGAGCCAGCUCGUGCACAGUGGCCUCAAGUGUGCACUGGGCAUGUUCUCUGCCUCACCAUCCCUGUGUGACAGAUGAAGCUUCAAGGACCACAGAGGGCCAAGUGCAGGAGUAAGAGGCUGGCGUGCUGACAGUGGCCAAGGGCAUUGGAGGGAAGGACCUGUCAUCACUGGGCCAAGGAAGGAACUCCAGACUGCCUACUUCCAGAGGGCCUGCUGAGAACCCCAAAGAGCUCUCUCAACAAACACACCCACGAGUUCCAGGAGUGAGGCUGCAGGGAACAGCCUCACUCUCAGAGGGGAUACAGAAUUGUUCCACUGGACAAGGGCUGGGAUCGUCAUAGGAUGCCGUUGGCCUGUGGUUUCCAACAGAGGUGCAGUUCAUUGAACUGUGGUCUACAGUCCAUUCUCUAACUUGGGGACCCUUGAAGAAGUGUGGAAUCAUGACAACAACCCUGUUGGGAGACACUAUUAUUCCCAUCACAUGGAUGAGCACACGGAGGCAAAAGGAAGUUAUAUGAUUGUCUGAGAUCACCCAGUGAAGACUGUGUGGCUGGGAGUUGUCCCCAGUGUUAUCUGCACGCUGCUUCCUUUUGAUGCCUGGCCCUUCUUUAUCAAAAGAAGCAUUGGCAGAAUCUGGGUGUUUAUGGGUCAGCUCAAAAUAAAUUACUUUAUAUGUCA
Molecule: long non-coding RNA, 1517 nt
Filed under: Homo sapiens (human)
Lineage: Eukaryota; Metazoa; Chordata; Mammalia; Primates; Hominidae
Description: long intergenic non-protein coding RNA 1471
Source: RNAcentral